RNAcentral lists this transfer RNA (91 nucleotides) under Dictyostelium discoideum. RNAcentral describes it as "tRNA-Glu". The stretch from base 16 to 87 matches the Rfam family "tRNA". From Rfam's summary of the family: Transfer RNA (tRNA) molecules are approximately 80 nucleotides in length. Their secondary structure includes four short double-helical elements and three loops (D, anti-codon, and T loops). Further hydrogen bonds mediate the characteristic L-shaped molecular structure. tRNAs have two regions of fundamental functional importance: the anti-codon, which is responsible for specific mRNA codon recognition, and the 3' end, to which the tRNAs corresponding amino acid is attached (by aminoacyl-tRNA synthetases). tRNAs cope with the degeneracy of the genetic code in two manners: having more than one tRNA (with a specific anti-codon) for a particular amino acid; and 'wobble' base-pairing, i.e. permitting non-standard base-pairing at the 3rd anti-codon position. Lineage: Eukaryota; Evosea; Eumycetozoa; Dictyosteliales; Dictyosteliaceae. The record is from RNAcentral.
AAAUUUUCAACUAAAUCCUCAUUGGUGUAGUCGGUAACACUCUAGUCUUUCACACUGGUACCUCGGGUUCGAUUCCCGAAUGGGGAGCUUU